CCUACGGGUGGCAGCAGUGGGGAAUAUUGGGCAAUGGGCGAAAGCCUGACCCAGCAACGCCGCGUGAAGGAAGAAGGCUUUCGGGUUGUAAACUUCUUUUGACAGGGAAGAGCAGAAGACGGUACCUGUCGAAUAAGCAACGGCUAACUACGUGCCAGCAGCCGCGGUAAUACGUAGGUGGCAAGCGUUGACCGGAUUUACGGGGUGAAAAGGGCGUGUAGCCGGGCUGACAAGUCAGAUGUGAAAUCCGGGGGCUCAACCCCCGAACUGCAUUUGAAACGGUUUUUCUUGAGUACCGGAGAGGUCAUCGGAGUUCGUUGUGUAGCGGUGAAAUGCGUAGAUAUAAGGAAGAACA
RNAcentral lists this ribosomal RNA (355 nucleotides) under uncultured bacterium. RNAcentral's name for it is "partial 16S ribosomal RNA". It matches the Rfam family "Bacterial small subunit ribosomal RNA", at positions 338 to 708 of the family's 1533-position model. The record is from RNAcentral.